Molecule: long non-coding RNA, 334 nt
Filed under: Carica papaya (papaya)
Lineage: Eukaryota; Viridiplantae; Streptophyta; Magnoliopsida; Brassicales; Caricaceae
Description: long non-coding RNA (CPAP_LNC010309)
Source: RNAcentral
CGUCGGCUCCCCACCAGAUAUGGGUUCACCUAUGCUCCCUUUUUAACGUUAUUGAUCUUGUUCCUUUUUUGAGCGGUAGAAAAAGAGGAGAUAGGGUUUUGCAUGCCUCUCUUUAUCACUUUCAGCUGCCUCCUUUUUUCCUUUUUAAAGCUGCUCAUUUUUCUUCUUCAGAGAUGCUUCCUUUUCCCUCUUCAGAGCUACUUCAUUUUUCUUCUUCAGAGCUGCUCAUUCUUCCUAUUCAGAAUUACUUCCUUUUUCCUCUUCGGAGUUGCUUUAUUUUUGCUGUUCAGAAUUACUUCAUUUUUUCUCUUUUCUUCUUCUCUUUUCAAUCUUU